Passer domesticus (house sparrow) is the source of this 1379-nucleotide long non-coding RNA. RefSeq lists it as uncharacterized. Lineage: Eukaryota; Metazoa; Chordata; Aves; Passeriformes; Passeridae. The record is from RefSeq and is a predicted model, not a curated record. The transcript is spliced from 3 exons.
CCUGAGGCAGACAAGCCCUUAUUUCCUCGGAAGGGCUUGAAACAGGAUCUGAGAAAUCCAAAGUCCUGUGUAUAUGGAAACAUAGAGACACAUAGAGGUAAACUGAAGUCAGAAUUACCUCCGAGUCUCGGAAUAUUCUCCCACAGAAUCUGUGUGGAAGAACUCCAGCAGAAGAUUUGCCCACUCUCUUUGGUGGUGAUGAAGGACAGGAACGGAGAAGGAAAAGGAGAUGUUGAGAAUAAAAGCCCUGGCUGUGUGGUGCUGGAAGUGAGCUGGACUCCAGCCUUGGUCACAGUUUGGACUCUGUGAUCUCAGAGGUCUUUCCCAGCCUGAAAGGAUUCCGUGAUUUUACAUUCACUGGAUGUGAAAGACACAAAUCCUGGAGACUCUGGGGCUCCCCUGAAGGCUGUGCUGGGAGAGGCACUGACAUGAGCACGGGGCUGGAGGGGAAGGCUGGCAGAGCUGGCUGCUCUCAUUGACAACACCCUGCACGUCAAUCUCACUUGUUUCUCCUAAUUUUAACUCCUCAUUCUGUCAUUAUUACUUUUUCCUUUAUUUUUUUCCUUUUUUUUUUUUUUUUUUUUUUUUUUUUUUUUUUUUUUUUUUUUUUCUGGGAUACCUUCAAAACCUUCUAGAAUCGAAACCUGCAAGUAAACAGAAAAACACAGGGAAGCACUCAAGUGACAGCAAAGAUAUUAGGACUGAAAAACUCGACUUUAAAUGAAAUAAACCUCCAAGCCCAGUAGUUUUUCUUGCUUUUCAUAUCAGCUGCUCUACAGAUGUUUUACUCAAUAAUCAGCUUUUCAAAAGUAUCAGCAGCUAACCAGGCACUGGCCAACACAGCUCCUGGAUAAAGCAGGAAUAAAAAGGGCAUUUCACCCCAAAUGUUGAUGGAAUUCUUACUCUGGGGGUGACACUGAAAUCUGCAGGACACUUUCUGCUCAGAUAUUGAGAAUUUAGCAACAGUGAGCUUGGACUCUUUGGAUGAGUGAUCCAAUGUUUCAGCCAUCAUCAGCUGCACAGGAGAGCUGGAGAGAAUUUUUAUAAAAGUAUAUGGUGACAGGACAAGGGGGAAUGGCUCUAAACUGGAAGAAAGUAGGGCUAGGUUUGGUAUUAAGAAGAAAUUCUUCUCUGUGAGGGGCACAGGGUGCCCAGAGCAGCUGGGGCUGCCCCUGGAUCCCUGGCAGUGCCCAAGGCCAGGCUGGACACUGGGGCUGGAGCAGCCUGGCACAGGGGAAGGUGUCCCUGCCAUGGCAGGGGAUGGGACUGGAUGGUUUUUAAGGCCCUUUCCAAACAGAGCCUUUCUGAGAUUUAAGAUUCUACUGCAGAACAAGUGAGAUGGCAGCAGUUUGGACUCUGCCAAACAGCAGAGCCCUGCA